CAUGCAAGUCGAACGAGCGAGAGAGAGCUUGCUUUCUCGAGCGAGUGGCGAACGGGUGAGUAACGCGUGAGGAACCUGCCUCAAAGAGGGGGACAACAGUUGGAAACGACUGCUAAUACCGCAUAAGCCCACGGUGCCGCAUGGCACAGAGGGAAAAGGAGCAAUCCGCUUUGAGAUGGCCUCGCGUCCGAUUAGCUAGUUGGUGAGGUAACGGCCCACCAAGGCGACGAUCGGUAGCCGGACUGAGAGGUUGAACGGCCACAUUGGGACUGAGACACGGCCCAGACUCCUACGGGAGGCAGCAGUGGGGAAUAUUGCACAAUGGGGGAAACCCUGAUGCAGCGACGCCGCGUGGAGGAAGAAGGUCUUCGGAUUGUAAACUCCUGUUGUUGAGGAAGAUAAUGACGGUACUCAACAAGGAAGUGACGGCUAACUACGUGCCAGCAGCCGCGGUAAAACGUAGGUCACAAGCGUUGUCCGGAAUUACUGGGUGUAAAGGGAGCGCAGGCGGGAAGACAAGUUGGAAGUGAAAUCCAUGGGCUCAACCCAUGAACUGCUUUCAAAACUGUUUUUCUUGAGUAGUGCAGAGGUAGGCGGAAUUCCCGGUGUAGCGGUGGAAUGCGUAGAUAUCGGGAGGAACACCAGUGGCGAAGGCGGCCUACUGGGCACCAACUGACGCUGAGGCUCGAAAGUGUGGGUAGCAAACAGGAUUAGAUACCCUGGUAGUCCACACUGUAAACGAUGAUUACUAGGUGUUGGAGGAUUGACCCC
RNAcentral lists this ribosomal RNA (771 nucleotides) under uncultured bacterium. RNAcentral's name for it is "bacterial SSU rRNA". It matches the Rfam family "Bacterial small subunit ribosomal RNA", at positions 54 to 838 of the family's 1533-position model. The record is from RNAcentral.